Molecule: small nucleolar RNA, 141 nt
Filed under: Triticum aestivum (bread wheat)
Lineage: Eukaryota; Viridiplantae; Streptophyta; Magnoliopsida; Poales; Poaceae
Also listed under: 1 other name
Description: Small nucleolar RNA F1/F2/snoR5a
Rfam family: Small nucleolar RNA F1/F2/snoR5a
About the family: This family contains F1, F2 and snoR5a sequences, all of which are members of the the H/ACA class of snoRNA that guide the sites of modification of uridines to pseudouridines.
Source: Rfam by way of RNAcentral
AAAUGCCAUUUGGUAUCUGACACCUGGUCAUUUUUUUGUGAUUUUGUGUCUCGAAACGUGGCAGAAAAUGAGGGGGAAUGGAACUUUGCGACACUGGCUGCUCCUAAUGAGCCUCUGGUUACUAUAUACCCAUUUAUAUCA